This 498-nucleotide ribosomal RNA is filed under the name uncultured bacterium. RNAcentral's name for it is "partial 16S ribosomal RNA". It matches the Rfam family "Bacterial small subunit ribosomal RNA", at positions 28 to 523 of the family's 1533-position model. The record is from RNAcentral.
GAUGAACGGUAGCGGCAGGCUUAACACAUGCAAGUCGAGGGGCAGCACGGACUUCGGUCUGGUGGCGACCGGCAAACGGGUGCGGAACACGUACACAAUCUACCUUUAUCUGGGGUAUAGCCCGAAGAAAUUCGGAUUAAUCCCCCAUAAUAUAUUAGAGUGGCAUCACUUCGAUAUUAAAACUCCGGUGUAUAAAGAUGAGUGUGCGUCCCAUUAGCUAGUUGGUAGGGUAACGGCCUACCAAGGCAACGAUGGGUAGCUGGUGUGAGAGCACGACCAGCCACACGGGCACUGAGACACGGGCCCGACUCCUACGGGAGGCAGCAGUGAGGAAUAUUGGUCAAUGGACGCAAGUCUGAACCAGCCAUGCCGCGUGAAGGAUGAAGGCCUUCUGGGUUGUAAACUUCUUUUAUUGGGGAAGAAAAUUACGGUUUCUACUGUAACCGACGGUACCCAAGGAAUAAGCACCGGCUAACUCCGUGCCAGCAGCCGCCGUAA